AUGGUGCUCAAAGGUACAGUACUUGCCUACCAUGCAAGAGGCCUGGGUUCGAUCCCCAGCACUACA
This 66-nucleotide transfer RNA is filed under the name Marmota monax (woodchuck). Its description in RNAcentral is "tRNA.Gly". The stretch from base 6 to 59 matches the Rfam family "tRNA", at positions 10 to 63 of the family's 71-position model. From Rfam's summary of the family: Transfer RNA (tRNA) molecules are approximately 80 nucleotides in length. The record is from RNAcentral. Lineage: Eukaryota; Metazoa; Chordata; Mammalia; Rodentia; Sciuridae.